RNAcentral lists this long non-coding RNA (1925 nucleotides) under Marmota monax (woodchuck). The record is from RNAcentral. Lineage: Eukaryota; Metazoa; Chordata; Mammalia; Rodentia; Sciuridae.
CCCUGAUGGGGACCAUCUUUGAAUCAACAUCUUGCAUGUCAUCAUUCAUAAUCAUGAAAAUGCCUAGUCAAUAGUGGUCUUCACAGAUUACCAAGAUGGGAAGGAAGGGUAAGGUCUGAUAUAAAGAGAUUCAGUUCAGGAAUGUACUCCAGAAUUAAUUUUUUAAUUUAAUUAAUUUUUUAAUUUAGAUAUUGAUUUCUUAAUGGUUGUUUGAAGUUUUAAGUAAAUCUCAAGUCUUUCUUUCAUAUCCAGAUGUCUAUCCUUGCCUUAUCAAAGAGCAGUUAUUUGAAUAAGGGAAAUGAAGGGUGAAUGAGGAUAAAAAUAAAUUAGGACUGCUGUCAUAAGUGCUAUAGAACAUUUAUUUUGUGCAAUUAAGUGCUAUAGAAAAUUUAAAUUAUUUUAUAAUUUGUAGAACAACUAAAAAAAUCAAAAGGCAUUAAAAGAAAAAAGCUCAUUAAUACCAAUUAAGUGGCCUUAAAAGAUAUAUUUUCAGGUAGUAACAAAUUUGAUUGCAAGUCAUUUUCCUCUGUGAGUAUUCUCAAGUUAUGACAUUAAAAAUGAGAAAAAAGGUAUUUCCAGUACAUCAUUCAUAAAAGUAGAUGGAGUAGGUAAACAAGUUAGUCUUUUUGAUCAUUAUUUUGCCUUCAUAAGCUCUUGAGCCCUCUUAUUCUAAAAGAAAAGCCAAUGUCAAAACAUCAACGUAACCAAUAUUACUCUGGCUUGAAAAUUAAGUUAGCUUUAAUGAGAUUUUAAUUUUAUACCUUAUUUAAUACAGGACAUAUCUUCUUCCAAUCUUACAGGAAGGUACAAUAUUUGUACCUGGAAUUAUAGAGUAGUAUUCUUAAAAUAAUUCUCAAACAUACAUUUAUUAAUACAUAUCAUCUUUAUUAAUAUAUGCUUCAUUUUGGAUUUAUGACUCAUACCUAAUGUCACCACACGACUAUAGACUUAGUAACCAGGAAUAUACUAAAAUUUAGUGCUGUUAUUUCUUAAAUGUUGGAGAUGCUUAGGACAGAAUUGGUGUAACCUAUUGUUGCCUUCAGUGUUUUCUUUAAUAUUUUGAGAAUAGAUGAAGCAAAUGCAGAAUAUCAAUAAUUUUUUCUUAUUAAAUAUUUUCCAUAAAUUGUGUUACAAUCCUACUCAUUUGCAGUAAAGAUCUUUCUUGCACAAAACAAAAUAGUGUUUUAGUGUAUUUGGAUUAAGAUCAGUUAGGGAAGGCUGAAAUCAGAGACUUUAAGGGAGAAAGAACAUAGAAUUAAUUUUGUAGAAAAGCUGUAAUUACUUACUAAAACAUGAUUAAAUAAGAGCUACCCAACUACUUGUAUUUGAUUAUAUUCAAUGAUAAAUAGAGCCUGUCUUAAUGUCAAGGAUAAGGAAAGAAAAUUACAUGGAGCAGUGAUUUUCAGACUUUGAAUUUCAUAAAUCAUUACACAAACACAAACAAUGGAAAGGGAACACAGAUUUAUUUUUUCCAAGUUAAAUGAAAUAAGACCUGUUAUUUCAUAAAUAACUUUUGUUUUACAUUUUGAAGAUACAUUUUAUUUCAUUUUUUUCCUGUGUCCACAAUUAAAAGUGAUAAGUCAACUAACAUUCUCAGUGUUGAUUCUUUAUAGAAAAAUUUUUUCAUUGUAUGGUCUUUAUAUGGUCUUUCCAGUUUCUGCAGUUUGAUUUUGUGUUUAUGUGCUUCUUACUUUUUUUUUUUUACCGGUUCUUCUUAGUUAUACAUGACAGUAAGUGAAAUAAGCCAAUCUCUAAACAAAGGUUGAAUGUUUUUGCUGAUAUGUGGAAGCUAAACCACAAUAAAGUGGGGAGGGAGAGAAAGAAGUUCAGUAGAUUAGAUAAAAGGGAAUGAAAGGAAAGGAAGGGGUAUAGGAAUAGGAAAGACAAUGAAUAAAUCUAAUAUAAUUUUCCUGUGUACACAUAUG